RNAcentral lists this ribosomal RNA (468 nucleotides) under uncultured bacterium. RNAcentral's name for it is "partial 16S ribosomal RNA". It matches the Rfam family "Bacterial small subunit ribosomal RNA", at positions 28 to 507 of the family's 1533-position model. The record is from RNAcentral.
GACGAACGCUGGCGGCGUGCUUAACACAUGCAAGUCGAACGGAAAGGCCCUGCUUUUGUGGGGUGCUCGAGUGGCGAACGGGUGAGUAACACGUGAGUAACCUGCCCUUGACUUGGGGAUAACUUCAGGAAACUGGGGCUAAUACCGGAUAGGAGCUCCUGCUGCAUGGUGGGGGUUGGAAAGUUUCGGCGGUUGGGGACGGACUCGCGGCUUAUCAGCUUGUUGGUGGGGUAGUGGCUUACCAAGGCUUUGACGGGUAGCCGGCCUGAGAGGGUGACCGGCCAGAUUGGGACUGAGGUACGGCCCAGAGUCCUACGGGAGGCAGCAGUGGGGAAUAUUGCACAAUGGGCGGAAGCCUGAUGCAGCAACGCCGCGUGCGGGAUGACGGCCUUCGGGUUGUAAACCGCUUUCGCCUGUGACGAAGCGUGAGUGACGGUAAUGGGUAAAGAAGCACCGGCUAACUACGUG